UACCGAUGUGCAGGGGAGAGAAUGGUCCCUCAGAAUUCAGCAGCCUGUGCUCAGUCUCCGAGUGUGCGAAGAAGAGAAAAGGUGAGGAAACUGACAACUUGAAGAAGAUACCUAGCUUUCCCAUGAGCCUUUAGCUGGCAAGUGGAAGAACUGGAGUGCUCCUGAGAUGUCAGGGCCAUAUCAGUUUCAAACAUCGCUGUCACGGUGGGAGCAACCGAAGUUGAAACCGCCUGAAUGCUAAAUGUAGCCCCAGAGCGGAAACUUUGCUUUAGAGUUGCAAAGUCGCUGGAAUAUUCAUAGAAAUGUAAUAUGAGCAAAGGAUACCAAGUCAGUGUCAAAACUUUGUUCCAAACCAUAUUUGCUAUUUGUGAGACUGGCUCCUCAGGGCUCGGCUGGAGAUAAGGUCUUCAGGGGACUGGAUGAUGCUCACUCACCUUGGUGAGGGUGUCUUCUUUGCUCAGCCUGCCAAUCCAGAUGCUAAUCUCUCCAGAGGCCCUCUCACAGACACACCCAGAACCAGUGUUUAACCAGUUGUCUGGGCAUUCCUUGGCUUAGUCGAGUUGACACGCAAGAUUAAGCACCACAGUUGAGCACGGUUGGGCGCUGAGUUUUGUUGGAGUGUCCCAUUCUUCACAGGUAACAGGGAAGCUCCAGAUGGGAAGACAGAAGCCAGUCAAGGGGACACAAGAAGAGGCUCCACUGGGUUGCCCCUUAGGAAGCCUGCUGCAUGGGAGCAAGUGGCUGGCAGCUCAGAGCAGCGUAGUGAAGUCACCACCCAAGAGGCGCAUACAGGGAGGUCCUGAACAAUCAUCUCCUUGGCCCUCAUCACAACCCCAGGAGACAGCAGGCAGCACUCAUUUGGGUUUGUUCCUGGUCUGAUCCAUGUCCCCAGGAUCACUGCAUGAAGAGCCAUUACCAUGGACUGAAAAGGCCAGUGUGGAAGGCACCUUAUAUCCACUACCUCUCAUCUUCACUGUGACCCUGCAAGUUGUGGACUGAGAUUGCCACCAGUGAUGGUAGCAUAGGUACACACAUGGAUGCACGCUGAAAGGCAAACGCAGUAAGUCACGCUGGGGUGGCCUCUGGGUGUGCUUGCUCUCUGCUCCUGCCUGGGGGCCCUGUGCAGCACAGAAGCACAGGGCUAGGGGGUGCUGCUGGGGUUCCUGUUUCUGGGAUCUUGGAUCUGACCUCUGUGGCCAAACCCCUGCUCUCUGCUGAAAUCUGUGAAGUGCUUCUCAUCCCCACACUGUUUCCACUGCGCAGGUGGAUUUGAAGUGGAGUUUUGGGCAGGGUGGGCAGACAGGAAUGUCUCUGCAUGCAUGGAGAUGUUGCUGAGCACUGCUGGGAUGCAGGGGGAGACUGAGCAAACCAUUUUUAUUUUGGCAAUGAUUAUAAUGAAGUUAAACCAUUCCCUGCCUUCUGUUAAGCCCAUCCAAUCUUCUUGCUUUGGAUUCAAUCAAAUUCAGUCCAUCUGAGCAGCAGCGUUGUGGUUACUUGGUUCUCUCAGAGUUGGCUUUCUGCCUUGAGUGCCUCUCUAGCCCCAAAUGACCAUGUGACCUUGGGCAAGUCACUUCAUGUGUCUUAUCAUUGUCUGUAAAAUGGGUCAAAUGAUAGGACCACCCCCACUGGGGUAUGUGAGGGGCAGAGCCCAGGAAAAGGUCCUGGGCAUGGCACACAGCAUGCAUGAGUGUCAGCUUGCCAGUGCCACUGGGUGUGACGGGUCCCCUCACCCACCCAUUGUUCCCUAAGAGAUGCAGGCACUCAGCGUCAUUAUGAAGGAGCUUCAUCGCCAGACACAAAUCUAAUGCUAUUCUUCCCACGAGAGCAUCAAGCCACAGUCCAGUUUCAUGCUUUUCUAGGUGGCUAUUGAACAGCCUUACCUUUUGCAUUUUGUUUGAGAGGAGAGCCUUUGCUUCAAUUCACUGCCCUUGUACUUCCUUGAGAGGUGGCUUCUCAUCCCUGACUCCCACUGAAGGAACCUGCUGCUCCACUCUACUAGGGGCUUCUAAAAAUUGUGGGGUGUGUCUCAGGGCUGAUGUCCCCAUCAGAAGUCAAGUAUAAUUGAAUAUAUCUUUUAAAGUGAGAUUGCUAAUGGCAUCAUUUCUAGUCCCACCGUACAGCCUUUGGUCACUUCCCGUUUACCUAUGGAUGAUGAGCAUGGCCAUAGUCCUUCUUGAUGUCGUAUGGGCAGUGGCCCCCCUCCCCCCACAACCAGGAGACGUUCUCCAUCACAGCUCACAGCUGGCUUCACUCAGGUGCUCCGAAGACAUGUAUUCUGAGGAGCUCCUUCUCUUCAUUCAUUAAGCUGAAAGAAAUCACAUUUCCAGGGGACAGAGAUAAAUGCUGUGUACUUCUCUGAUUAAACUGCCUGCUGUUUUAAAUCUAUUUUCAGAGACUUUUUUCCUUCAAUAGACAUUCAAUGACACAACACAGUUAUAUCUGUAUUGGCAGUUUCUUCUGCCCUGUUUAUGUAGCGUGUGUGUGUGUGUGCACAAAAGUGAACAUGUGCCAAUCCAGUGGUCCCGUGUUAUGAUCGAUACAUAUUCAACAAUUAGGAAACUGCGCUUAAAAAAAAGCAGGGUUGGAUAUACAUCUCAUUGACCAGUAAAAAAAAAUUGCAUAGUUGGGUAAAACUAUGUUUAAUAUUUUAUGUGUUUAAAAUACUUUAUGUAUUUAAAACCACUAAAUACAUAAAGUACAUUAAAAUGAAAAAGUGCAGGGAAACAGUUGUCUCACCAAAGGUUUUCCAUCUGAAUGAUGGACUUGCCAUGGUCCCAGGGCAACUCUGCAGGUCUCUCCUGCAGGCUACUUUCCUAACAUCUCUGUGUUUCUGCAAGGUGUGGGGAACAGGACUAAAAAUGUCUCAGCCCUGGCCCACGGCUGUCCUUACAGCCUUCCUUAAUCGUUGAAAUCUCUGCUGCCACUUUGCCAAAAGAAUAACACCUCCCCCAGAA
Molecule: non-coding RNA, 2954 nt
Organism: Manis javanica (Malayan pangolin)
Lineage: Eukaryota; Metazoa; Chordata; Mammalia; Pholidota; Manidae
Source: RefSeq, a predicted model, not a curated record